This 446-nucleotide ribosomal RNA is filed under the name uncultured organism. RNAcentral describes it as "partial 16S ribosomal RNA". It matches the Rfam family "Bacterial small subunit ribosomal RNA", at positions 335 to 797 of the family's 1533-position model. The record is from RNAcentral.
ACUCCUACGGGAGGCAGCAGUGGGGAAUAUUGGACAAUGGGCGCAAGCCUGAUCCAGCCAUGCCGCGUGAGUGAUGAAGGCCCUAGGGUUGUAAAGCUCUUUCACCGGAGAAGAUAAUGACGGUAUCCGGAGAAGAAGCCCCGGCUAACUUCGUGCCAGCAGCCGCGGUAAUACGAAGGGGGCUAGCGUUGUUCGGAAUUACUGGGCGUAAAGCGCACGUAGGCGGAUCGAUCAGUCAGGGGUGAAAUCCCAGGGCUCAACCCUGGAACUGCCUUUGAUACUGUCGAUCUGGAGUAUGGAAGAGGUGAGUGGAAUUCCGAGUGUAGAGGUGAAAUUCGUAGAUAUUCGGAGGAACACCAGUGGCGAAGGCGGCUCACUGGUCCAUUACUGACGCUGAGGUGCGAAAGCGUGGGGAGCAAACAGGAUUAGAUACCCCGGUAGUCCCA